UCACUUCGGAUUGCAAGCUGCAACUCGCCUGCAUGAAGGAGGAAUCGCUAGUAAUCGCCGGUCAGGCAUACGGCGGUGAAUAGAAGAAAGAAUGGAUAGUCCAAUAGCGGCUUCAGCAACCGCAAGGGCAAUAACAAAAAUUGCGAAAAUAUCUCCUUUUAAUUGGCGACUAUCAAAUAGAUCAGAAAAUGUUACGAGAUUCAGUAUAAGUUCAAGACAUAUUGGAGCUCUAACCAUGUUUCGGCUUGUGAUCAAUCCACAGAUACCAAUCGAAAAUAAAUAGACACUCAAAAAAAGUACAUGCUCAAACAUCAU
Molecule: ribosomal RNA, 315 nt
Filed under: Triticum aestivum (bread wheat)
Lineage: Eukaryota; Viridiplantae; Streptophyta; Magnoliopsida; Poales; Poaceae
Description: partial small subunit ribosomal RNA
Rfam family: Bacterial small subunit ribosomal RNA (bases 1-82)
Source: RNAcentral